RNAcentral lists this non-coding RNA (32 nucleotides) under Rattus norvegicus (Norway rat). Lineage: Eukaryota; Metazoa; Chordata; Mammalia; Rodentia; Muridae. The record is from RNAcentral.
UGAUUAGACCUGUAAUCUUUAAAAGUGCUAUC